RNAcentral lists this long non-coding RNA (1454 nucleotides) under Marmota monax (woodchuck). The record is from RNAcentral. Lineage: Eukaryota; Metazoa; Chordata; Mammalia; Rodentia; Sciuridae.
GGCAGAUGCCCAGUGAGGGGCAGGCGGGUGAACAUGUGCGUAUAUGGGUGGUGGGUGGUGGAUGAGUGGGGAUAGGCGGACAACAGACAGGCAUAUGCAGGGGCUCCCAGGACUAGCAGAAGACGAGGGAUGUGCUGCCUAAAACCCCAAGAGCACAUAGAUCUCACAGAGAAGCCUCCUGAGGACGGCUAGUGACUGCUGCUGCUACCUGCCGCCCCGUCUCCACCAACCAGAAGACCAGGACGCACCACGGCAGGAAGCGCCUGCCCCAUGGCUGGAACCUUCCUCCCAGAGAGGAGGCUGAUGAUGGUGAGAGCACCUUACAGUGUGGCAGGAGAGGGAGCUGCUCACACCCCCCUGGUAGUGGCACUGCCCUCUGGGGAUGCCCCGCCGCGCCCUCCCAGGGAGGCACAGAUGGCCCUGCUCUGCAGAGCCAUGAAUCAUGCCUGGUGACGGGCGGCACACAAACAGGAGUGAAGUCAGCAAACUGGAGUGAGAGUGGGGGUGCUGUAGGGCACAGUGACAGAGCCUGGCGUGGCCUCCCAGCGUCUCCUGGGGGGUCUGGAUCGGCUGCGGGAGCACACACCACAAUGGAUGGCACCAUCACAGACCACACUUCUCACUCCAACGUGUGAAGUAAAUAUGUUGGAAAUAACCACAUCACGGGAGAGUCCACUCAGCCUCUCAGCCACAGGUGGAGAACACCCCAGGGGCAAGGGGUGGAGCACCAGCCCUCCCAGCACCCCAGGACACAGCUGAGAGGUGAGCCAGAUGUCCCCACCAGCCCAGUGGCAGGCCCAGGACCGGGCUCAGCCUCCCUCCCACUUGAUCCGGAAGCCACCCCUGGCCUCUGACCAGGUCUGACUCUCUGGGCACAGGAGAUAGCCCUGGAGCAUCGGCACACAGGGCCGUCAUGAGGGACCCUCCACACCACACACCACACCUCACCAGAGGAACCUCCGGAGCCUCCAAAGACACCAUGAACCUGUGUGAACCCCUGGGUCUGAGUCAUUCACUGCCAGAGUGCUCCACCAUCACUCCAGGGCAGUCACACCUGGGGUUACGAAUGAUGGCCCAAACAAAGGUCUGUGUUUUCUUCCUCUCAGGAAAAAGACAUGAAGCAAUGGCCAAAUUCCUCCCUCUUGGUCCUCCCCGGGCCCUUGCCAGCCCGCUGCCUCUGAUCCUGGCUCUGCUGCGUUCCUGGAUUGUCACAGAAACCUGGAAGACUCGUCCCUCUUUGCCUAAGCAGAGCCAGAGUCAGGCAGCCAUGGGGGCAGCUGGUGGCGUCCGUGGGGAAACAGAUUGCUCUCUGCUCCCCGCUAACGGAGACCGAGGCUGCAGGGCUAACACAGACAGGGGCCCUAGGAUGCACAAAGGACCCCAAGAAGCCAGCACCCAGGACCUCUUGUGCAAGGAAACCAGGGCGAUGGGAGAGGCAGGCCUGGGGCGUGGGG